CUCAUAUUUAUCCUUUAAAAUAAGAAAAGGCUACUUCUAAUGAAUUUAUCUACAGUGUCUUCAAUGUCCAAUGAAACAUUCUCUGUAAAUAUCUCAACUAGAUUUAAUUUUCCUCAGCAGAAAGUACCAUUACACACGUCUUGUGUGUUGCUAUCCACAGUUUUGCUAGAAACAUUGAGGUGACAGAUUGCUUGGACUUUUGAAACCUACCACAUGAUGAAAUCAGAUUUUGGCUUCUUUAAUUUUUUAAAGACUUUUUCACACAGGAGUUUGUUUUAAGAUUUUAGUCGAUUUCACCUUAAUUUUAUGCAAUAUAAACAUCAUGUAAAGAGUAACACGGUAAAGCCAUUUUAUUAUUUAUUUAGUAAGCAUGAGACGAAGUGGGAAGGGGGAGAUGGACGAUGGCUGGAAGAACAAAGCCCGCUCAGCUCUCCAAACAGAUCCACCAGCCAGCACCAACUGUUUCGAGUGACAGAAGCAAGCUUGAAUGUCCACAUUAAAAUGCUGCAUAACCAUGUGAAGGAAUGACAAAACACAUCAACCAUGUCAACAACUACCUUCAGAAGAGUCAAGAUGGAGAUCUUACAUCAAGCAUGUGGCUUGACCCCUUGCCUGCUCGACCACACACCUGACCUGCAUUCCUGCCUGCGACAACACCAUGCCGCAUCUGUGCACAGCUCUGCUGCAUCCCCGAGUCCCUAGCUAGCUACAGUACCAUGCAAUCUGCGUGCUCAGCUUUACUCAGCUUCCCCUCUGCAUGCUGCUCUGUGCAAUAUCCCAAGUCAGCGAGGUGCUAUGCCGUUUCCCUGGUUUUCUCAACUGCCUCCCCCCAGCCAUGGAAAGUACACACCACAGUGUCAUCUGGGGCAGCAGCAUGCUCCACCAGCAAUGGGUCCGGACACCCAAAUGACUCUGUUCUGACAGGUAAAAGUAUGGCUUUCUUAAAGAGUCACACAAAAAACGUGGCAUGCUUUUACGUCAAUGACUGCAUAGUGUGGUUCUACUGUGUUUUGUAAAGAAUAAGAUAUAAUGGGUGGGUAUAAAAUGUUAAAAAGAAACAUAAAAAUAACUUAAAAAGCAUAUUUUAAGAAACACAGAAACUGUAUAGUUGUUGAAUAAUUGUGAUGGAGAUGGAGGGUGCUAAUACUUAAUUCUGUGAAUAUUUUCUGAUGCAUGCAGCACCAUCUUGGAUACUAUUAAAGCUGAUAGCAGAGUUGACAGGCAAGUUGACAAUUAAACCACAGAUUAUCACACGACCUUUUAAGCACAUAUGUGCAAAAAAAGCAACAGGUCUUGAUGGCUGAGUAACACCAAUAUGCUGCCCCAUCUUUCAGAAGUCUGAUUAUUUAUACACUAUUCCUGCGCUGUGCAAUCAUAUACCAGUGCCUAAAAAGUCCAAUCCCUCAGAGAAUAAUGAUUUAUAGACCUGUAACACUGUCUUCUAUUGUAAUUAAAUGCUUGGAAGAAUUAUGGUAUCUAUGCUCAGCUCAAAAGUGAACACUGGACUCGAUCCAUAUCAGUUUGCAUAUACUGUAAGUGUUAUGUUGUUAUCUUGUUGUUAAAAAUCCUAUAAGACCCAGUGCUUAGGUGCAACUACUGUUUGAUGACAUUGCAGCCCCAUCUUUUGAUUAGUAAACUGAAGUAGAUGCCUGUUAUUCCUAUCAGAUGGCAUUAUCCAUUUUUAACAAACAGUGCACAGAAGGCCAGAUUUAAUAAGACUCUUUCUGAGUUAUGAUUUUGUUAAUACAGGUGCCCCUCAGGGCUGUGGGAGUUCACCAGUUCUAUUCAAACUACAUACAACUGAAUGUACAAGUAGUUAUCAAGGCAACUAUAUUGUUAAAUUUUCAGAUGGGACAGCUGUGCUUGGCUUAAUGUAUAGAGAAAGUCUAUGUAGUGUACAUGCCAGAAAUUCAUAGGUUUGUGCAAUGGUGUGACAGAUAUAACCCGAUUUUGAAUUAAAAAAAAACGUAAGAAUGGUGUUCGAUCCCUAAGCCGUUGGUUACCAUUCAUAUAUAGUGAUUCACAAGUAACUUAUUACCCAGGUUAAUUCAUACAAGUAUUUAGGAAUAUACAUAGACAUCAACCUGAGCUGGACUACUCAGGUUUAGAGUGUUUGCUCCAGAGUUCAGCAGCAUUUGUAUUUUGUCUAAUGGACAAGUUUGCUCUGUUGUUAGUGCCGUGUCCUUGCAUUAUGAAAAAAAGGAAAGGCGGGGCAGACUCAUACUGCAGGAUCUUGAGGUUGAAACGAUGAUCACAUCUCUCCUUUGAUGGUACUAAAGCUGCAGAUAUGAGCAGAGCUGACAGGAUUGAGAUGUAUGAAAAUAAUAGAGAUCCAAAUUAUUAAUGACAGAAUACUGGACUAAAGAACCCGGCGACACAGUGGUUAGCAUUUCUGCCUCACUGUGCUGGUGCCCUGGGUUCAAUUCCGGACCUGGGGUUCUA
Molecule: non-coding RNA, 2442 nt
Organism: Lepisosteus oculatus (spotted gar)
Lineage: Eukaryota; Metazoa; Chordata; Actinopteri; Semionotiformes; Lepisosteidae
Source: RefSeq, a predicted model, not a curated record